CCUACGGGAGGCAGCAGUGGGGAAUAUUGGACAAUGGGGGCAACCCUGAUCCAGCCAUGCCGCGUGUGUGAAGAAGGCCCUCGGGUUGUAAAGCACUUUCAGUGAGGAAGAACGCCUGGUGGUUAAUACCCAUCAGGAAAGACAUCACUCACAGAAGAAGCACCGGCUAACUCCGUGCCAGCAGCCGCGGUAAUACGGAGGGUGCGAGCGUUAAUCGGAAUUACUGGGCGUAAAGCGCGCGUAGGUGGCUUGAUAAGCCGGUUGUGAAAGCCCCGGGCUCAACCUGGGAACGGCAUCCGGAACUGUCAAGCUAGAGUGCAGGAGAGGAAGGUAGAAUUCCCGGUGUAGCGGUGAAAUGCGUAGGGAUCGGGCGGAAUACCAGUGGCGAAGGCGGCCUUCUGGACUGACACUGACACUGAGGUGCGAAAGCGUGGGUAGCAAACAGGAUUAGAUACCCGAGUAGUC
RNAcentral lists this ribosomal RNA (465 nucleotides) under Vreelandella stevensii. RNAcentral describes it as "partial 16S ribosomal RNA". It matches the Rfam family "Bacterial small subunit ribosomal RNA", at positions 338 to 795 of the family's 1533-position model. Lineage: Bacteria; Pseudomonadati; Pseudomonadota; Gammaproteobacteria; Oceanospirillales; Halomonadaceae. The record is from RNAcentral.